RNAcentral lists this transfer RNA (77 nucleotides) under Candidatus Bathyarchaeota archaeon. Its description in RNAcentral is "tRNA-Asn". It matches the Rfam family "tRNA". From Rfam's summary of the family: Transfer RNA (tRNA) molecules are approximately 80 nucleotides in length. Their secondary structure includes four short double-helical elements and three loops (D, anti-codon, and T loops). Lineage: Archaea; Thermoproteati; Candidatus Bathyarchaeota. The record is from RNAcentral.
GCCGCCGUAGCUCAGAUAGGUAGAGCAGCUGGCUGUUAACCAGCAGGUCGUCGGUUCAAGUCCGACCGGCGGCGCCA